GAAACGCGAUAGUUAAUGUGAAUUGCAGAAUUCAGUUAAUCAUCGAGUCUUUGAACGCACAUUGCGCCCAUAGGUAUUCCUUUGGGCAUGUCUGUUUGAGCGUCAUUACAACCCUCAGCUAACCGCUGGUUUUGAACCUGAACGGGUGACACCGCGCCGGUUUUAAAGUUGUAAGCUCUGCUGGCCGCUCUGCCCAACCAGAACAUAGUAAGCACUACUUGUCCGGGUGAAGCUGAACGGUACGGCCUGAACAAAACCUACCCACUCUCAAGGUUUGACCUCAGAUCAGACAAGGAUACCCGCUGAACUUAAGC
RNAcentral lists this unclassified non-coding RNA (314 nucleotides) under plant metagenome. RNAcentral's name for it is "partial contains 5.8S ribosomal RNA, internal transcribed spacer 2, and large subunit ribosomal RNA". The stretch from base 1 to 105 matches the Rfam family "5.8S ribosomal RNA", at positions 50 to 154 of the family's 154-position model. The record is from RNAcentral.